GGAGAGCUGGCCGAGUGGUUGAUGGCUCCGGUCUUGAAAACCGGCAUACUCGAAAGGGUAUCGGGGGUUCGAAUCCCUCGCUCUCCGCCA
RNAcentral lists this transfer RNA (90 nucleotides) under Occallatibacter sp. RNAcentral describes it as "tRNA-Ser". It matches the Rfam family "tRNA". From Rfam's summary of the family: Transfer RNA (tRNA) molecules are approximately 80 nucleotides in length. Lineage: Bacteria; Pseudomonadati; Acidobacteriota; Terriglobia; Terriglobales; Acidobacteriaceae. The record is from RNAcentral.